AAAAAAUAAUUUGUUUUUGAUUCUGAGAAAAAAAAAUUGUUUGUUUCACCCUCAGCUGCCACUAUAUGUAAUGCUAAAAUUGAAAGAAAAAAAUUGUUUUCGACUUGUCGCGAAAAAAAUAGAUUGUUUUUCGCCGCAGGCGAAAAAAAAAGUUUGCACAGAAAAAAAAACCAUAGCCCCCCCCCAGAAAAUCAAAUGGUUGCUGCCUUAGAUAAAAA
Molecule: long non-coding RNA, 218 nt
Filed under: Mytilus galloprovincialis (Mediterranean mussel)
Lineage: Eukaryota; Metazoa; Mollusca; Bivalvia; Mytilida; Mytilidae
Source: RNAcentral